AAUAAUAAAACAACUCAUAUAAACCCUGAAUAUGGCAGGGUGUUUCUACUGAAAACCUUAAAUUUUCAUCUAUGAGUGAAUUUAAUAU
RNAcentral lists this non-coding RNA (88 nucleotides) under Clostridium saudiense. Its description in RNAcentral is "Purine riboswitch". It matches the Rfam family "Purine riboswitch aptamer". Rfam says of the family: Riboswitches are metabolite binding domains within certain messenger RNAs that serve as precision sensors for their corresponding targets. Allosteric rearrangement of mRNA structure is mediated by ligand binding, and this results in modulation of gene expression. Lineage: Bacteria; Bacillati; Bacillota; Clostridia; Eubacteriales; Clostridiaceae. The record is from RNAcentral.